CUACAUAAAAGUAAGUCUCAGUUCGGAUUGAAGGCUGAAAUUCGCCUACAUGAAGCUGGAAUUGCCAGUAAUGGCAGGUCAGCAUACUGCCGUGAAUACGUUCCCGGGCCUUGUACACACCGCCCGUCACACCAUGAGAGUUGGGAUACCCGAAGCCUGUGAGCCAACUGUAAAGAGGCAGCAGUCGAAGGUAGAAUCAAUGAUUGGGGUGAAGUCGUAACAAGGUACC
Molecule: ribosomal RNA, 229 nt
Filed under: uncultured bacterium
Lineage: Bacteria
Description: partial 16S ribosomal RNA
Rfam family: Bacterial small subunit ribosomal RNA
Source: RNAcentral